Molecule: non-coding RNA, 224 nt
Organism: Pelobates cultripes (western spadefoot toad)
Lineage: Eukaryota; Metazoa; Chordata; Amphibia; Anura; Pelobatidae
Source: the annotation of a GenBank genome assembly
GCUCCUACUUCAUACCCCACUCAUUGGUCAUUGACAAAGCUCCUACCUCAUACCUCGCUCAUUGGUGAUUGCCAUAGCUCCAACCGCAUACCUCACUCACUGAUCAUUGUUAUAGCUCCAACCUCAUACCUCUCUCACUGAUCAUUGCCAUAGCUCCAACCUCAUACCUCACUCAUUGGUCAUUGCUGUAGCUCCAACCUCAUACCUCACUCGUUGGUAUUUGC